ACCGAGUUCACCACCAGGCUCCUGCGCGCCCCGCCCACAGCCCGGCGGGGGGAGGGGCUGAAGGACGCGUCGUUUCCCCGCCUGUGGAGCGCAGAGCACAGUGGACACAGCAGUAAACUCACCGUGUUAAAGAAGGUCAUCAGCACAUACUGAGACACAUUUACAGACAAGAUGGUAAAAUGGAUAUGAAAUGAUAUGGCUCCCAAGAGCAGCUCUGUGGUAAAAACUGACCACUGAUGAAAGGCUAGAGGAUGGCUAACACAGUUUAUCAACAGAUGGACCCCAGUCUGUAAGUGCACAUCAGUGGGGUGGAGCUAUGAGGGAGAGGCUUGUAAUAGUGGCUGCUGCUCCUCCAGCUGAUGCAGUUUGGCCUCCAGGGCGGAGAUAGAAGCCUUCAUCUUGGACUUGGCCUGUCCUUCGGCCUCCUGCAGCUUCGUCUUCAGCUCCCUGUUCUGUCUCUCCAGCUGCUGCCGGACGCUCUC
Molecule: long non-coding RNA, 482 nt
Organism: Pygocentrus nattereri (red-bellied piranha)
Lineage: Eukaryota; Metazoa; Chordata; Actinopteri; Characiformes; Serrasalmidae
Exons: 3
Source: RefSeq, a predicted model, not a curated record